CAGUUUGGGGCCAGCUGUGUGGCAACUGCUUGAGUCAGUGUAAUCAGGAAACCGGAGAAUGUUCCGGAAAGUGUGCUCUCGGCUGGGAUGGUCCUACUUGUUCCAGACGAAAUGUGGCAUUUAACCAAAGCACGACGCAGUCUUCGGAUUAUAGCGAGGGAGGGUUCAGCUUCACCUCCGGACUCGCCGUUGAUGGUAGGACUGGACCUGAUUUUUAUGCGACACCAAAUACAUGUACUCACACCAGAGAAAAUCCACAUCCCGCGUUUUGGACGGUGACACUGGAUGCACAGUACAGCAUCUAUCGGUUCAGGAUAUAUAACAGGGAAGCUUCUCCGUGUUCCCCUCCGUGUGGUGAACGACUUAACGGCUUCUCUCUGUCCGUUGGAAAUUCCUCCCAGAGUUACAAAAUCUGUUACCAGGACACCACCACGACCCCAAUAGGUCCCGGGGAUAUCAUCAACGGAGUUUGUAACGUCAGUGGUCCUGUGUUUGGGAACACUGUAAAUAUCUCGAUAAACACUUUCAAACCACUUACUCUGUGUGAAGUACAGAUUUUCGUAUGUGCCCCCGGGACGUAUGGACCAGACUGUGGGAGGAGAUGUGGGAACUGUGCUCAGGGACCAUCUGUGUGUAAUACAACAUCCGGGCACUGUCCACAGAGAACACCCAGGUGCAUGGAGGGAUA
Liolophura sinensis is the source of this 688-nucleotide long non-coding RNA. RefSeq lists it as uncharacterized. The record is from RefSeq and is a predicted model, not a curated record. NCBI's taxonomy places the organism in Eukaryota, Metazoa, Mollusca, Polyplacophora, Chitonida, Chitonidae. The transcript is spliced from 4 exons.